Molecule: ribosomal RNA, 497 nt
Filed under: uncultured bacterium
Lineage: Bacteria
Description: partial 16S ribosomal RNA
Rfam family: Bacterial small subunit ribosomal RNA
Source: RNAcentral
GAUGAACGCUGGCGGCGUGCCUAAUACAUGCAAGUCGAGCGAACAGACGAGGAGCUUGCUCCUCUGACGUUAGCGGCGGACGGGUGAGUAACACGUGGAUAACCUACCUAUAAGACUGGGAUAACUUCAGGAAACCGGAGCUAAUACCGGAUAAUAUAUUGAACCGCAUGGUUCAAUAGUGAAAGACGGUUUUGCUGUCACUUAUAGAUGGAUCCGCGCCGCAUUAGCUAGUUGGUAAGGUAACGGCUUACCAAGGCAACGAUGCGUAGCCGACCUGAGAGGGUGAUCGGCCACACUGGAACUGAGACACGGUCCAGACUCCUACGGGAGGCAGCAGUAGGGAAUCUUCCGCAAUGGGCGAAAGCCUGACGGAGCAACGCCGCGUGAGUGAUGAGGGUCUUCGGAUCGUAAAACUCUGUUAUUAGGGAAGAACAAAUGUGUAAGUAACUAUGCACGUCUUGACGGUACCUAAUCAGAAAGCCACGGCUAACUACGUG